GCAGCAAUACCAUCUUUGCUCCAGUCCUCUUGCCACACUCAAGGAAGUCUACACAAACUGAGUGAAGAGCCACUAGUUCCUCCUCCGCUUCCCCCUCGGAAAAAGUUUGAUCACGAUGCUCCGAACUCCAAGGGAGCUAUGAAAUCGGAUGAUGACCCUCCUGCUAUUCCACCAAGACAACCCCCUCCUCCAAAGGUAAAGCCAAGAGCUCCUGUCCUCACGGGUACAUUUGAAGGGCCUGUGCCCAGUCCACCUCCACCUCCUCCCAGAGACCCUCUUCCUGAUACUCCUCCACCAGUUCCUCUUCGGCCUCCGGAACACUUUAUAAACUGUCCGUUUAAUCUCCAGCCGCCUCCGCUGGGACAUCCUCACAGAGACCCAGACUGGCUCAGAGACGUUAGCACAUGCCCUAAUUCACCAAGCACUCCUCCCCCUACGCCCUCGCCACGGAUUCCACGCAGAUGCCAUUUGCCCAGCCCCAGUCACAACAAUCUUGCUCACCCUCCAGCUCCUCCCGUUCCACCAAGGCAGAAUUCAAGCCCUCACCUACCAAAACUGCCACCAAAGACUUACAAGCGGGAGCUUUCACACCCGCCAUUGUACAGACUACCUUUGUUUGAAAAUGCAGAAACUCCUCAGUGACCUUGGCCACGUGUAGUCAUUGACACUGGAUUAGUAUUUGUAAAGGUUUUUAAUUUAUUCAAAAAAGACAUAGUAUUUUAGUACUUUUUACAGAAAUGCUACUGAUCAAAUAAGCUUUUAAGAACUAGUAAAAUUGUCAGAUGGCAGUGGUGCACACCUCCAAUUCCAGCACUCGGAAGGCAGAGGCAGGUGGGUUUCAGGGUUUGAGAGCAACCUGGUCUAUAGAGCAAGUUCCAGGACAGCCAGGGCUACACAGAAAAACCUUGUCUCAAAAAGUCAAAACCAAAAC
Molecule: long non-coding RNA, 931 nt
Filed under: Rattus norvegicus (Norway rat)
Lineage: Eukaryota; Metazoa; Chordata; Mammalia; Rodentia; Muridae
Description: long non-coding RNA NONRATT025077
Source: RNAcentral